UACGUAGGGCGCAAGCGUUGUCCGGAAUUAUUGGGCGUAAAGAGCUCGUAGGCGGCCAGUUGCGUCUGCUGUGAAAUCCCGGGGCUCAACCCCGGGCGUGCAGUGGAUACGGGCUGGCUAGAGGCAGGCAGGGGAGAACGGAAUUCCCGGUGUAGCGGUGAAAUGCGCAGAUAUCGGGAGGAACACCGGUGGCGAAAGCGAGGUCCUGGACGCCUACUGACGCUGAGACGCGAAAGCCAGGGGAGCGAACGGG
RNAcentral lists this ribosomal RNA (253 nucleotides) under uncultured bacterium. RNAcentral's name for it is "partial 16S ribosomal RNA". It matches the Rfam family "Bacterial small subunit ribosomal RNA", at positions 524 to 776 of the family's 1533-position model. The record is from RNAcentral.